UACGUAGGGGGCAAGCGUUGUCCGGAUUUAUUGGGCGUAAAGAGCGUGUAGGCGGCCAUGCAGGUCCGUUGUGAAAACUCGAGGCUCAACCUCGAGACGUCGAUGGAAACCGCAUGGCUAGAGUCCGGAAGAGGAGAGUGGAAUUCCUGGUGUAGCGGUGAAAUGCGCAGAUAUCAGGAAGAACACCCGUGGCGAAGGCGGCUCUCUAUCUCGAUUCUGACGCUGAGGCGCGGAAGCUAGGGGAGCAAACGGG
Molecule: ribosomal RNA, 253 nt
Filed under: uncultured bacterium
Lineage: Bacteria
Description: partial 16S ribosomal RNA
Rfam family: Bacterial small subunit ribosomal RNA
Source: RNAcentral